RNAcentral lists this long non-coding RNA (2112 nucleotides) under Marmota monax (woodchuck). Lineage: Eukaryota; Metazoa; Chordata; Mammalia; Rodentia; Sciuridae. The record is from RNAcentral.
UGAACCCAGACAUGUAUUGCUACUGAGCUGCAUCCCCAGCACUUUAUUUAUAUUUUGAGAUGGGUCUCACUGAAUUGUUAAGGGUCUUAUUAAAUUGCCAGGCUGGCCUCAUACCUGUGAUAUUCCUGUCUCAGCCUCCCAGAUUGCUGGUAUUACAGGUGAGUGCCACAACACCCACCUACAGUUUGCUACAGGUUCAGGUUGUUAUGAGGCCAAGAGCACAUACCCACUUGCAGGAGUGGAAUCCUAGUCAUUUGGCUUACAGCUUAGUGAUGUCUCCAUUACACCAUGUUAGGUAAAUCUAAUUUUUGUCCUUGGGUUGUUUUGCAUGAAUACUUCACCUAGUCAUUCACCUAACUUAUUGAUAAUUGUUUUUUAUACUUUCUGAUACACAUCUAGCUUUGGGAAUUUUAAUUUUAGGAAGCAAACCUUAAUGCCUUGGUGUUAAAAAAAAAAAUAGUAUGUUGGUGCAGGCAUGUAUUCCCCACUAUGAGGGAGGCUGAGGCAGAAGGAUCACAUCUUACUGUCUCAAAGUAAAAUUAAAAAAUUUGGGAUGUAGCUCAGUGCUAGAGUACUUUCCUAGCGCUUUUCCUAGCACUGAAAAGAAAUCUGUACUUUAUUGCUUCACUCUUGAUUAGGUAUUAGUAGCAAAUGAAAGAGUUACAAUGAAACUACUCAAGAGGCAUAAAUCCAUAUCAUGCUGAGUGUGGUGGUGUGCACCUAUAAUCCUAGCGGCUCAGGAAACUGAGGCAGGAAGAUCUUGAGUUCAAAGCCAACCUCAGCAAUGAUGAGGUGCUAAUAAGCAGCUCAGUGAGACCCUGUCUCUAAAUAAAAUACAAAAUAGGGCUAGGGAUGUGGCUCAGUGGUCCAAUGCCUCUUGAGUUCAACCCCUGGUUCCAAAACCCAAAACCAUAUCGUUUCCUACUUUUAUUUUUGGUACCAGGGACUGAAAUAAGGGACAUUUAAUCCUGAACCAUAUCUCCAACCCUUUUUGUUCGUUUGUUGUUUUGGAGACAUUGGUCCUAGGUAAUGUAGUGAGAAGUUAAGUUCUCGCUGAGUUGCUGAGGCUGGCUUGAAACUUAAGAUCCUCCUGAGUCACUGGGAUUACAGGUGUACACCACUGAGCCUGGUUUAUAAUUUCCCACUUUUUGAUAAAUCUACAGCAUGAGGUCAUAUUCCCACUGAGUUUGUCCAAUAAAAACAGUUUUCAAAUAAGACUAUGAUUGUCCAUAAAUUGCUAAAGUAAUUGGGUUGUAUUUUAGCUUAAUAAGUUUGGGAAAAGAAAACCUAUGUAAAAAGAAAUUUUCUAACUACUUUUGGGCUUUUUCCCCUUUCAGGGACAAGACACUGCCACUGUACUCUUUUGUGACUUGAUCCACAAUUCAAGGCAGAAUACAUAAUGAUUUUUAUGAACAUUACACAACAGAAUUUUUGGCAGCAGUGAACAAAGAUGGGUCAUUAUUGUUUUUCUUGCCUUUGUUUUAAUCAUCACUUUGCAAUGAAUUAUUACUUCUGAAAUUUCAAAGUAUUUCCCUGUACUCUAGAAUUUGAAAAUGGUUGUACACUAUUCAAAAGCCUUUAUCUGCUUAUAAAUUUGCUAGCUUUACCAUUUUAAAUCAUCUUUCUUAAAUUUCCCUGAGAAUGCACCAUCACAUAUUAACCAAUUUCUCAGUUUUACUGGGUCUAUAACCUAUUGUUAAGUGGUUUCAGAAUUGUUGCAAGUAAGGCACAGAGGCUUUAAAGACUAACACCCUUCCUAAUCUUUAAAUCUAAUUUACAAAGCAUUGGAUUAACUUAAUUCCUAGCACUUUUCAAUUAACUUUAUAGCUUAAAGUAAAAUAUAUUUUCCAAACUACUGUGUUUAAUUUUUAAUGUAUUUUUAAUGGCUAAAGAAAGCACUAUGUGGGGCUGAGAUUGUAGUUUAUUCAAUGGUAGAGCACUUGCCCAGCAUGUGUGAGGCACUGGAUUCAAUCCUCAGCACUACAUAAAUAUAAGAAAAUAAAAUAAAGAUAUUAUGCCAUCUAUAACUAAAAAAAAUAAAGUACUAUGUAUUAUAUAAAUUUGAAAAAGCUAAUAAAAAUCAAAUAGCCACAGUCCUGUAAAGAAGUAGAU